UUUGUGAAAACUCCUCCACGACGUUGCGCUGGCCCUGGAAUCUGAGAACACUCAGCCCAGGAUAUGUCACGGUAGGCCCUGUAAGAUGACAGGACCAAUGUCAUCCAUCAUCCAAGUUGGUGCUGCUAGGAGAGAACCACAGAGCACUUUCAUGUAAAGGAAAGAGAAGAUGAGCACAGCCAGUUUGAAUUUUGAUGACUUGAAGUUACUCUCUAAUUUAAGUAUUUUAUAUCCGAGAAGCAUAUUAUGUGUGUGGAAGUAUUAUGUGACUUUUCUCAAACUUUGAAGCAUUUCCUCCACUUACAAGACAUAGAAAACCUUUCCCCAAAUUUUUCUAAACUUCCUUGGGCGCACAGCUUGAUCUCUGUACUCUUCCUCUCCAUCUCUGUAAAAUGAAUGCUUCAGGAAUUGGAUAAUACGACAUUGAACUUAAACAGCCUCUUCGUCAGAGAGUCCAGAGGUCUUUGAAACUCCAGACUCAUCUGAAGAGAAGAGAGAGAUUUUGGCUUUGAUUCUAGAGUGAUGUUUCACAGAAAGUCAACUCUUGUUCCAGCAGGUUUGGAGAUGAGAUGAAAGCAACCCUAUCUCACCACUUUUAGAAAGGAAAUGAGGUAUGGUGCUCAUAUUCCCUGGCUUUUACUUGGAUCAAGUGUGGAAGAAAGGAAGAAAGAAGUGGAAACUAAACCUGGAAAAAGAAGAAGAGAGGAAAACAGCUAUCCACUCCCUCCCCUGAAAACACCUGGCAAUCUGCCUCUUUGAGUAAGCUGACUCACAGUGGACAGUAGUUCCUCCAUGGGCUUGGAAGUAUCCAAUGAUACCUACUAUCAAGUAGAAUGCAGUUUAAGAUUGCUGGAGAAGAAGGAUGCCUACCAUUGUUGUUGUUGGAGUUUGUUGUUGUUUUUUUUUUUUUUUUUUACUAUAGUAGUUUAUAGAGGAGGAAGAUUUUUCCUCUACCUGUCUUGGGUACAUUGCUGGGGUCCUGCAAAUUAGGUUGACAAAGGACAGAUAAAAGAGAGAAAAGCAAGCAAGUUUGUUGAUUCAUGCAGUCCACAACACAUGGAAUACUUACUGAGGAGUAACUCAAAGAAGUGGUUAGAACUUGGACUUCUAGGGCAUCUUAGCCAAGAAAGAUAAAUUUGAAGAGAAGUGACAAGACACAGGAAAAGGGUUUUAGACUUCCAAAGGUGGCAAACUGUAGGAAGAUAAAUAUAUGGGAGAAGCCAGUGGAAGAUAAGGAUUGUUUUAGCAAGGUUUGUUACAUAGAUUCCCCUGGUGCAGACUCUGGACUGUUAAGAGUCUAGGGUUGUUUCUGGUGGUUAAGAAUCCUCCUGCCCUUUCUGGUAAAGAGGGGGAGGUCAGAGAGUUUGUCCUGUGUCUUUUUCUCCCCAGUUGUCUUCAGCUCAAAAUAAGCUUUAUGCCAGAUUGGCAUGUUCUAGGGUUUAGAACCUCUUCAAAGAUUAACUUUUCUUCUUUUCAUAAUAUUCUAAAAUAAUACAUAUACAUGGUAGAAAAAUUGGCAUUUUGAAAGAAGUUAAAAGAAGCAUGCAAAACAUCACUAAACCUUACCUUGUUAGUCAAAUGCAACCACAGUUCAGAAUGGUUCCAGUAUUCUUUCCUAGAAUUUCUUUAUCUUCAUGUAACUGAGAUCAUUCUGUACACAGAAUUUCACAUACUAUGCUUUCCUUCAAUCAUUCAAAAAUAUUUUCUAGUGCCAUUAUUAAUUCUUUAACUAUUAUUUUAA
Nyctereutes procyonoides (raccoon dog) is the source of this 1741-nucleotide long non-coding RNA. RefSeq lists it as uncharacterized. The record is from RefSeq and is a predicted model, not a curated record. Lineage: Eukaryota; Metazoa; Chordata; Mammalia; Carnivora; Canidae. The transcript has 3 exons.